GCCUUCUUCUUCCAAGUUCCUUUUCUGGUCGUGUGGCCCUAACCAUGUCCCUUCCCCUCUGCCGCGUCAGUUGCCCCAUCUGGCUAAUGGGUGCGAUAAAUGAAGUGGUGGCUGGCGCUGACUGUCAUGCAUUCUGGGGCCCCCCCGUGCCGUCACAAAGGCCCCAAGGAGGGAGAAGGCCAGCCGUUACCAGGCUUCCCGGCGGACAGCGUGAGGCAGAAGGGGGAAACAUCUAGUCUUUUGCCAUUGAAGGCCUUAAUAGAAUCCAACCGACCUCCCCUCAAGGCGAGGAGAAUUCUGCCAGCAGACUGCCUUCGGACUCAACCUGCCACAUCAGCUCUUCCCUGGGUCUGCAGCCUGCUAGGCUCCCCUGCAGAUUUUGGACUGGCC
RNAcentral lists this long non-coding RNA (390 nucleotides) under Equus caballus (horse). Its description in RNAcentral is "lncRNA (ENSECAG00000047674.1)". The record is from RNAcentral. Lineage: Eukaryota; Metazoa; Chordata; Mammalia; Perissodactyla; Equidae.